RNAcentral lists this long non-coding RNA (271 nucleotides) under Elaeis guineensis (African oil palm). Its description in RNAcentral is "long non-coding RNA (EGUI_LNC060741)". The record is from RNAcentral. Lineage: Eukaryota; Viridiplantae; Streptophyta; Magnoliopsida; Arecales; Arecaceae.
GGGCCCUGCCACAAUUGGAGCCAUCAAGGAGAGAAGAACAGCCUAGAGAUCGACCUCCAAUUGGGAUCAUCAACACCAUCUUUGGAGGGCCCCGGAGGGGAGCGGUCAGUGGAUCGGUCAGACCGCUCAAGCGGCAAAGAACUGAAGGAUUUAUAACCUUUACUGAAGAAGAUGCUCGGGAGAUCCAAUUCCCCCAUAAUGAUACGGUUGUAGUUUCUUUAAAUAUUACUGAUUAUGAUGUACGCCGCAUUCUUGUUGAUAGUGGAAGCUC